UAGGGAAUCUUCGGCAAUGGACGAAAGUCUGACCGAGCAACGCCGCGUGAGUGAAGAAGGUUUUCGGAUCGUAAAACUCUGUUGUUAGAGAAGAACAAGGACGUUAGUAACUGAACGUCCCCUGACGGUAUCUAACCAGAAAGCCACGGCUAACUACGUGCCAGCAGCCGCGGUAAUACGUAGGUGGCAAGCGUUGUCCGGAUUUAUUGGGCGUAAAGCGAGCGCAGGCGGUUUCUUAAGUCUGAUGUGAAAGCCCCCGGCUCAACCGGGGAGGGUCAUUGGAAACUGAGCGAGUUGAGUGCAGAAGAGGAGAGUGGAAUUCCAUGUGUAGCGGUUAAAUGCGUAGAUAUAUGGAGGAACACCAGUGGCGAAGGCGGCUCUCUGGUCUGUAACUGACGCUGAGGCUCGAAAGCGUGGGGAGCAAACAGG
Molecule: ribosomal RNA, 429 nt
Filed under: Gemmatimonadota bacterium
Lineage: Bacteria; Pseudomonadati; Gemmatimonadota
Description: Gemmatimonadetes bacterium partial 16S ribosomal RNA
Rfam family: Bacterial small subunit ribosomal RNA
Source: RNAcentral